This 139-nucleotide ribosomal RNA is filed under the name uncultured eukaryote. RNAcentral describes it as "partial 18S ribosomal RNA". It matches the Rfam family "Eukaryotic small subunit ribosomal RNA", at positions 1299 to 1458 of the family's 1831-position model. The record is from RNAcentral.
UGGUGGAGUGAUUUGUCUGGUUAAUUCCGUUAACGAACGAGACCUCGACCUACUAAAUAGUUUGCCAAACCCUUGGGUUUGCGUAAGCUUCUUAGAGGGACUAUCGGUGCGUAGCCGAUGGAAGCUCGAGGCAAUAACA